RNAcentral lists this ribosomal RNA (372 nucleotides) under uncultured bacterium. Its description in RNAcentral is "bacterial SSU rRNA". It matches the Rfam family "Bacterial small subunit ribosomal RNA", at positions 525 to 896 of the family's 1533-position model. The record is from RNAcentral.
ACGUAGGUGGCGGGCGUUGUCCGGAUUUACUGGGCGUAAAGGGAGCGUAGGUGGACUUUUAAGUGAGAUGUGAAAUACCCGGGCUCAACUUGGGUGCUGCAUUUCAAACUGGAAGUCUAGAGUGCAGGAGAGGAAAGUGGAAUUCCUAGUGUAGCGGUGAAAUGCGUAGAGAUUAGGAAGAACACCAGUGGCGAAGGCGACUUUCUGGACUGUAACUGACACUGAGGCUCGAAAGCGUGGGGAGCAAACAGGAUUAGAUACCCUGGUAGUCCACGCCGUAAACGAUGACGACUAGGUGUAGGGGUUGUCAUGACCUCUGUGCCGCCGCUAACGCAUUAAGUAUUCCGCCUGGGGAGUACGGUCGCAAGAUUA